AGAGAGAGACAUGCGCGCAUAUCAAUAAGCGGAGGAAAAGAAACUAACUAGGAUUCCCUCAGUAACGGCGAGUGAAGCGGGAAGAGCUCAAAUUUGAAAUCUUCAAGGUUCUACCUUGACGAAUUGUAGUUUAAAGAAGUGUUUUCUGUUGGAGUUUUGGUAAAAGUUCUUUGGAAUAGGACAUCAUAGAGGGUGAGAAUCCCGUAUUUGACCAUUAUUUCCAGCUUUGUGAUACACUUUCAAAGAGUCGGAUUGUUUGGGAAUGCAGUCCAAAAUGGGUGGUAAAUUUCAUCUAAAGCUAAAUAUUGGCGAGAGACCGAUAGCGAACAAGUACCGUGAGGGAAAGAUGAAAAGAACUUUGAAAAGAGAGUUAAACAGUACGUGAAAUUGUCAAAAGGGAAGCGUUUGACACCAGUGUUGUUUUCUCGAAAAUCAAUUAAAGAACUGUUUAUGCUAAGCUGUUUAGACUUUAUCAGCUAAUCUGUUUAGUUUUGAGCUUUUCUUUAAUGCACUUUUCAGUUAACAAGUCAACAUCAAUUUCUUUUGCUGUAAAAAAGCUUGAGGAAGGUGGCUUGAGAUUCGUCUUAAGUGUUUAUAGCCUCUUGCCUCUGCAGUCGGAGAGAUUGAGGUCUGCAGCGUAGAUCCUUCGGGGUUAGAUACAUUUGUGCUAAGUUAUAGCCUUUCAUAGACAACUUGUUGACUAUGAUCAGUCAUGUAGCUUACUCGCUUAUGCUAUUUUACCUACGCUUAGGAUGUUGAUGUGAUACUGCGAGCA
Molecule: ribosomal RNA, 775 nt
Filed under: uncultured Neocallimastigales
Lineage: Eukaryota; Fungi; Neocallimastigomycota; Neocallimastigomycetes; Neocallimastigales
Description: partial large subunit ribosomal RNA
Rfam family: Eukaryotic large subunit ribosomal RNA
Source: RNAcentral